This 787-nucleotide non-coding RNA is filed under the name Kisaura zhejiangensis (nom. nud.). Lineage: Eukaryota; Metazoa; Arthropoda; Insecta; Trichoptera; Philopotamidae. The record is from RNAcentral.
UAAAUAUAUAUAUAUAUAUAUAUUAUAAAUUUUUAAAAUUUUUAAAAUUUUUAAAAUUUUAUUUAGUAUAUAAUUUUUUUAAAUUUAAUGAAAGUUAAUUAAAGUAAUAUUUUAAAUUAUUAAUAAAAUUUUGUGCCAGCAAUUGCGGUUAAACAAAAAAUAAAAAUAAAUAUUAAAAAAUUUGAAUAAAUAAUUUUAAAUAAUAAUAAUAAUAAAAUUUAAAGGUGAAAUUUUAUAAUUUAUUUAUAGUAUUUAUUAGUAUAUUAUUAUGAAAUUUAAAAAUUUAAAAAAUAAACUAGGAUUAGAUACCCUAUUAUUUUAAAUAAAUAGUAAAAAAAUUUAAAAAUUUAGAAAAAAAAUUAAAAUUUAAAAAAUUUGGCAGUAUUUUAAUCAAUUUAGAGGAACUUGUAUAUUUAUAGAUAAUCCACAAUUAAUUUUACUUUAUAUAAUUUAAUUUGUAUAUCGUUGUUAUAAAAAUAUUUUUAGUAAAUUUUAAAAUAUUUUAAAAUUUAAAUAAUAAUUUAUAUCAAAUCAAGAUGCAGUUUAUUAUAAAGAUUUUUAUGAGUUACAAUUUUUAAUAAAAUUGGAUUUAAAGAUGAAAAAUUUUAAUAAAAUUGGAUUUAAAAGUAAUAUAAAUAAUUUAAUUUAUAUGAUUAUUGUUUUAAAAUAUGUACAUAUUGCCCGUCACUCUCAUUAUAUAGUAUAAAUGUAUAAUAAUAAAAAUUAUUUAUGUUAUUAAUUGAGAUAAGUCGUAACAAAGUAGAUGUAUUGGAAAAUGUAUCUAGAA